GACGAACGCUGGCGGCGUGCUUAACACAUGCAAGUCGAGCGGUAAGGCCCUUCGGGGUACACGAGCGGCGAACGGGUGAGUAACACGUGAGCAAUCUGCCCUUCACUCUGGGAUAACCCCCGGAAACGGGAGCUAAUACCGGAUACGACCACUUCGGACAUCCGAUGGUGGUGGAAAGUUCCGGCGGUGAAGGAUGAGCUCGCGGCCUAUCAGCUUGUUGGUGGGGUAACGGCCCACCAAGGCUUCGACGGGUAGCCGGCCUGAGAGGGUGACCGGCACACUGGGACUGAGACACGGCCCAGACUCCUACGGGAGGCAGCAGUGGGGAAUAUUGGACAAUGGGCGAAAGCCUGAUCCAGCAACGCCGCGUGAGGGAUGACGGCCUUCGGGUUGUAAACCUCUUUCAGCGCAGACGAAGCGAAAGUGACGGUAUGCGCAGAAGAAGCACCGGCCAACUACGUGCCAGCCGCCGCAGUAA
RNAcentral lists this ribosomal RNA (478 nucleotides) under uncultured bacterium. Its description in RNAcentral is "partial 16S ribosomal RNA". It matches the Rfam family "Bacterial small subunit ribosomal RNA", at positions 28 to 523 of the family's 1533-position model. The record is from RNAcentral.